AACGGAGGGGGGCAAGCGUUAUUCAUCUUGACUGGGUGUAAAGGGUAUGUAGAUGGUUUUUUUUUUUUGAAAUAAGUAAUCCAAGCACAACUUUUGAAGUUAUUUUUUUAUAAAUUAAAACUUGAGGUUAUAAGAAGUACGUUACAUUUUUAGAGUAAAGGUGAAAUUCCAGAAUACUAAAAAGAUAUCUUAAUGGCGAAAGCUACGUACUAUUAUUAUCCUGACAUUGAGAUACGAAAGCAUGGGGAUCAAACAGG
This 257-nucleotide ribosomal RNA is filed under the name uncultured bacterium. RNAcentral describes it as "partial 16S ribosomal RNA". It matches the Rfam family "Bacterial small subunit ribosomal RNA", at positions 523 to 776 of the family's 1533-position model. The record is from RNAcentral.